GCUCAGUUUCCAAGUUGUUGAGUUUGGUAUGCUUGGUCAUGUGUUUAGGUUCUCAGCUGGUUCAGUCUAGUGUGACCUACGAUAGCAAGGCAAUUGUGAUUAAUGACCAAAGGAGAAUCCUCUUCUCUGGUUCCAUUCAUUAUCCCAGAAGCACCCCUGAUAUGUGGGAAGAUCUGAUAAAUAAGGCGAAAGAUGGGGGAGUGGAUGUGAUUGAGACCUAUGUCUUCUGGAAUGUGCAUGAGCCUACUCAGGGAAAUUACAAUUUUGAAGGGAGAUAUGAUCUG
Molecule: unclassified non-coding RNA, 284 nt
Filed under: Hevea brasiliensis (rubber tree)
Lineage: Eukaryota; Viridiplantae; Streptophyta; Magnoliopsida; Malpighiales; Euphorbiaceae
Source: RNAcentral